ACUCUCGCGGGACAAUGGGUGUCACGGCAGCCAGCGACCGUUUGUCAUUCACAGCUGCCUGAAAGGAGGACCGCAGUAUUCCCACGCAGGAAGCUUGGACCAAAAGCAGGAAUGCUUAAGGGCGCAUAUGACUUGCCAUGGUAAAAAACAGGAUGCCAACCCAGGCCUGAUGACAUCCACCUCACUAAAAGCUAAGGACUAGGACUUUCUGCUUUAAACAAGGACCCACAUGUGGGUGUUUUCUGUGGGAGAGGGAGAGAGGACAUUCGAAGGGCAGAAGUCUGACCUUUGCAAGCACACGUGAACCACACCAAUGAGAAAUGAAUGGACGAGCCAGAUGCCAAUUUAUAAAUUUCCUACUGCACACCUUGAAUGUGAAAGUACAUGUGGCCGACAAAGAGAAGGGAAGAUGGAGCCGCCAUCUUCAACAGGAGUGGCACAACUGUCGGAUCUAUGUCUGCAGCUGGAUUUUACAGGCUGCUCUUCGUUAGAAAGGAAAACUUUACGGAGGACUUCCAUGCCUUCACUAUCUGCCUAAGUAAAUUCUUCUUAACUCCUGUA
Molecule: long non-coding RNA, 561 nt
Filed under: Homo sapiens (human)
Lineage: Eukaryota; Metazoa; Chordata; Mammalia; Primates; Hominidae
Description: non-protein coding lnc-ANKRD27-1:6
Source: RNAcentral